Molecule: long non-coding RNA, 2466 nt
Organism: Gallus gallus (chicken)
Lineage: Eukaryota; Metazoa; Chordata; Aves; Galliformes; Phasianidae
Source: Ensembl
AGCAGUGAUUGAGCACCUGGUGGAAGGCAGGGCCAACCCAGGGGAGCUCAGGUGCAUGCAAUGUACCUGAGUGACUGGAAGGGUGAAGCCAGGAUGCACCCCUUCCCAGACCUCAUUUAGGGGUUGACAGUGGAGGUGAGAGUAUUUUGCUGGAGAUCCUUGUUGUACCUGAGGCCUUCUGGUGGGUUUCCAAAUGGAAAAUGGUGGCUAUCAGCAUGGGUCUUCCAGAGCUCAUCUGCACAGCUCACUGAUCUUCAUUUGCAGGAGGUCUUUGCACCUGACUUUGCCUGUUUGAUGUGCUAUGGUGUUAUUUCCAGCUAUCAGGGAAAGACAAGGCUUUCAAGGGCUGACCUAGUUGAGUUUGCAGGAUCCUAAGGGUUUUGUCUGGAGCUAAAGCAAAUCCCAUUUAGGACCAAGGAAAUACAUCCUUUCAAGAGACCAAGUGAAACUGCCCACAGACAGAGGUCUCUCCUCCCUCGCUUCCAUGCCCACCCCUUGUCUUGGUGCAGCUGUGGUGAUGUUUUACUUGGGCUGGUUGUUAACGCUGAUGUUAAAGACAUCCCUGAUGGCACAACGACAAGGCUGGGUGUUAGGGUUAAUGCUGGGUGUUUUUUGUCCUUGUGCAUCUGACAGUACUAUGCGGGAGCUUUGGGCUUCGUAUGCAGAGCCCUUGAGACCAGAAAGUUACAAAAGCAUCCUUGGGGACCAGCUGCUGGGUGUGAUUUUUCUGUCGACUGUUGGCCUUCCAGAUGUAGGCUCUGUCCAUCUGCCCCAGCUUGCAAAAAUACUCCACCUUGGCAUCAGUGCCAGUGUUCCACUGUGGUGGGGGGAUCUCAUUGCUCCCUUCCUGCUGGAAUCAACUGAAAUUCAAGACCACCCCAGGCUCAGUGAUGACUCGAUCGUGCCAUUUGAUCUCCUGGGGCUCCCUUGAGGAUGGUUCUUGCUCCUUCAGUUCCUGUAGGUUACCUGAUGCAGAAAAAGUACUAUUUAGUGCCCAUAGCUAACGCAUCAUGAUGACAAAAGAGCCCAAGUGUAGUUGGCUGCAAGCCUGCCCACAGCUUUGCAGGGAUAAGAGGUAGAAGAUCAGUCUACCACUUGUUUAGAGCCUCAGGGUGCUGCUUCAUUCCCAUGCAUCACCAAGUGAUUGGCAGAGAUCCAUACGGACAUCCAUCUACCCCACUGGGCUUCAUCUCAUUAGGGAGCCAAAUGUGGCAUUGCCUUACCUCAAUAGCAAGAACUCACAUUUGGGUAGGCUGGCAUGGCUGGUCUGGCAGGCCCAUCUGUGCAUAAAGGUGGUAUUUUAUUAUUAUAACUAUUAGUGACCAAAAGCCUGCCGUGGAAGUAGGGGUUGGUCAAAGGAUGUCAUCCUUCCACUUGGGACAAUUGCCCACAGCAAGCAGCCUUUGCAUCGCGGCAGAGCAGAGAUGUCUGUGCUGGAUCUAACCUGGGAUCUAACGUGCCUCGCUGGGGUCUCCAUUCUGCACAGAAACAUGCUUUCUGCUCGUUGCAAACACUGGGGAGUAGAGCAGAGGUCUUUGGAAGUCUUUGUGCGCACCAAAGUGAGGAACCCGUCCAGCUCUCAGCAUCCUUUUUUCAGCACACUGCUGUCCCUAAAGCACCAGCUGCCGUCGCAGGGAGGGGUCACAAGGAAUUAAAGCUCGGGACCAUCUCUUGGGAUCAAAGAAAGGCGAGGACACAAGAGACAGCUGAUGAGGGGAAAAACACAGCAUUGUGCUGGUGGGGAAAUUCUUCAGCCUUCACAUCUGAAAGAGGCUUUGCUUCGCUGGACAGCAAGCGCUGUCUGUUCACCAGGCUGAACAUCCUCUGCCUCCAAUAUAGAUGUCACCAGCUGCUUUGGGAUCACUCAGGCUCCUUGUAUGUUCCUUCUUGCUCCCUGAUGCAGCCUUCCUGUAAAAGCUACCAUCGUCCUCUUUGGAAUUUCCUUCCCACAAAAGCUUUAGGAGAGAAUUUUGUAGGAGUGACUCAAGUGUGGAGCAAAGAUGAGCUUUGACGUAGGUGAAAGUGUGUGAUUGAAUCAAGUCUUCUGAGUUCAAGAACCUCUUCUGGUGCAGGAGGGGAUCACGGCCACUGAAAGCUGGGCUUUUUUUACCCACAAACUCUGGUGAAGGGUUUUGCACUAUGGCAGGAGCAACGAGCACCAAUAAGGGAGAUACUCAUCCUGCUCUUGCAGGGACAAGCUUGAAGUUCUACCCACUGUCUCUCAGUGCCCAAGGGUUGUUUCAUGGAGCAUGGAAAGAUCUCAUUAUUUUGUCAGUAAAAAGUAUUUAUGGCUUUCUUCUUUAAAUAACUUUAGACACCAUCCCUGGAGGUGUUCCAGAGCCAUGGAGAUGUGGCAUUGAGGGACAUGGUCAGUGGGCAUGGUGGGAUGGGUUGGGCUUGAUCUUAGAAGACUUUUCCAACCUUAAUGAUUCUGUGGUCAGAAAAAAGAAAAGGGAAAGAAGGAAA